RNAcentral lists this long non-coding RNA (3855 nucleotides) under Hordeum vulgare. Its description in RNAcentral is "long non-coding RNA (HVUL_LNC007759)". The record is from RNAcentral. Lineage: Eukaryota; Viridiplantae; Streptophyta; Magnoliopsida; Poales; Poaceae.
AAAAAAGAUAUAAAAGGUAUACAAAACAUCCAAAGUUGACAAGAUAACAGCGUGAAACCAUCAAAAAUUAUAGAUACGUUUGAGACGUAUCACAUACCUACCUAUCAUGCCCUUUUCAUAGCCAUUCCGAGAUAUAUUGCCAUGCAACGCCCACCGUUCCGUCUCAUGACUUGUGCCGUCACUUACAUAUUGCCAUUGCAUGAUCGUAAUAUAGCUAGCGAGUCAUACGCUAAGCUAGAUCGUUGCACAUCCCGGUACAUUGCCAGAGGCAUUUCUUCUAAGGGUCUUCAUUGUUCUAAGUUUUGAGCUGUGAGUAAAUAAAAGUGUGAUGAUCAUCAUUAUUAAAGCAUUGUCCCAUGUGAGGAAAAAAAAGAAGGCCAAAGUUGCCCACACACAAAAAAAGAGUGAAAGAGAGAGAUAUGGAAAGAGGCCAAAGAGCCCAAACMAAAAAAGAGAGAAAAAAGAGAGAAGGGACAAUGCUACUAUCUGUUUCCACACUUGUGCUUCAUAAUAGCACCAUGUUCUUCAUGAUUGCGAGUCUCUUGUUUUGUCACCACCAUAUACUAGUGGGAAUCUUCAUUAUAUAACUUGGCUUGUAUAUUCCAAUGAUGGGCUUCCUCAAAAUUGCCCUAGGUCUUUGUGAGCAAGCCAGUUGGAUGCACACCCACUACUUCUCCUUUUGAGCUUUCACACACUUAUAUCUCUAAGUGCAUCCAUUGCAUGGUAAUCCCUACUCUUUCACAUUGAUAUCUAUUGAUGGGCAUCUCCAUAGCCCUUUGAUACGCCGAGUCACUGUGACCAUCUCCUCCUUUUUGCCUCACAACCUUCACCACACUCUAUUCCACCUAUAAGUGUUAUAUCCAUGGCUCACACUCGUGUAUUGCGUGAGAGUUGAAAAAGGUUUGAGAAAGUAAGAGUGCGAAAACAAUUACUUGGCCAAUACCGGGGUUGUGCAUUAUUUAAAUUCGUUGUGUGGGGAUGAUGGAGCAUAGCCAGACUAUAUGAUUUUGUAGGGAUAACUUUCUUUGGCCUUGUUAUUUCGAAAGUUCAUGAUUACCUUGCUAGUUUGCUUGAAGUAUUAUUGAUUUUGUGUCAAUAGUAAAUUAUUGUUUUGAAUCUUAUGGAUCUGAACAUUCAUGUCACAUGAAAGAAGUUACAAACAAAUAUGCUAGGUAGCAUUCCACAUCAAAAAUUCAGUCUUUAUCACUUCCCUACUCGAGGACGAGCAGGAGUUAAGCUUGGGGAUGCUUGAUACGUCUCCAACGUAUCUAUAAUUUUUGAUGGUUUCAUGCUUUUAUCUUGUCAAACUUUGGAUGUUUUGUAUGCCUUUUAUAUCUUUUUUGGGACUAACUUAUUAACUCAGUGCCAAGUGCCAGUUCCUGUUUUUUCCGUGUUUUUGACCCUUUUUAGAGGACAAUAUUAAACAGAGUCCAAAUGGAAUAAAACCUCCGAAAAGAUUUUUUUCGGAGCAGAAGAUACGCAGGGAGCUUGAGAACCAAGGCAGAGGGCACCAGGGGAGGCCACAAGCCCCCUAGCCGCGGCCUGAGGGGGCCGCGCCUAGUAGGCUUGUGGGCCCCCUAUGGCUCCUCUGCCCUACUUCUUCCGCCUAUAAAUCCCCGAAAAAUCCAAAACCACGGGAGAGAGCCACGAAAAUACUUUUCCGCCGCUGCAAGCUUCUGUCUUCGCAAGAUCCCUUCUGGGGCAAGUUCUCGUGCCCUAUCGGAGGGGGGAUUCAGACACGGAAGGCUUCUUCAUCAACACCAUUGCCUCUCUGAUGAUGCGUGAGUAGAUCACCUAGUAGCUAGAUGGCUUCUUCUCUCUCUUGGAUCUUCAAUACAAAGUUCUCCAUGAUCUUCAUGGAUAUCUAUCCGAUGUAAUCUUCUUUUAAGGUGUCUUUGUCGAGAUCCGAUGAAUUGUGGAUUUAUGAUCAGAUUAUCUAUGAAUCUUAUUUGAGUUUCUUCUGAUCUCUUAUAUGCAUGAUUUUAUAUCCUUGUAAUUCUCUUCGAGUUGUGGGUUUUGUUUGGCGAACUUGAUCUAUGAUUCUUGCAAUGGGAGAAGUGCUUGGUUUUGGGUUCAUACCGUGCGGUGACCUCACCGAGUGACAGAAGGGGUAGCGAGGCAUGCAUCGUGUUGUUGCCAUCAAGGCUAAAAAGAUGGGGUUUAUAUCUAUUGCAUGAAUCUAUCCCUCUACAUCAUGUCAUCUUGCUGAAGGCGUUACUCUGUUUGUCAUGAACUCAAUACACUAGAUGCAUGCUGGAUAGCGGUCGAUGUGUGGAGUAAUAGUUGUAGAUGCAGAAAGUAUCGGUCUACUUGUCUCGGACGUGAUGCCUAUAUGUAUGAUCAUUGCCUUAGAUAUCAUCAUGACUUUGUGCGGUUCUAUCAAUUGCUCGACAGUAAUUCGUUAACCCACCGUAAUAUUUUCUAUCAAGAGAGAAGCCUCUAGUGAACACUAUGGCCCCCGGGUCUACUUCACAUCAUACUUUCAGCCCUACACUUUUACUUUGUUGCACUUUCCGCCUUCAGAUCUCACCUUGUAAUCAAUCGUGAAGGGAUUGACAAGCCCUUUGUAGCGUUGGGUGCAAGUUUGCUAUUUUUGCGCAGGUACUUUAGAGACUUUGCUUGAUACUCCUACUGGAUUGAUACCUUGGUUCUCAAACUGAGGAAAAUACUUACUGCUACUGUGCUGCAUCACCCUUUCCUCUUCAAUGAAAAAACCAACGCAAGCUCAAGAGGUAGCAAUCCCUACCUCUCUCUUCUUCCUCCUCCGCAACGCUUGCCGAAGCCCUGCCGGAGAGCCACAUAGCUUCACCGCCACCACGAUGUCGUGCUGCCGGACCUCUCCCUCAACUUCUCCUCUCUCCUUGAUGGAUCAAGAAGGAGGAGACGUCACCGGGUUGUACGUGUGUUGAACGCGGAGGCACCGUUGUUCGGUGCAUAGAUCAGAAUCUACCGCGAUCUGAAUCGCUGCGAGUACGACUCCAUCAACCGCGUUCUAGUAACUCUCCCGCUUAGCGAUCUUCAAAGAUAUGAAGAUGCUCUAAUCCUUUGCUCGUUGAUGGUUUCUCCAUAGAUAGAUCCUUGCAUGGUGUAGGAUUUUUUUGAAAUUACUACGUCCCCCAACAGCAUGACUAGGAGUUGGGCAACUUGGUGCGCCCCAAGCGGCGACCUAGCUCACUAUGCGAGGCGAUUUGGUGACUCCAUAGUAGAUGCGGUCAAGAAGGGAGCACAAACGGUUUUGGGAGACUUUACGUGCCUUGAGCGGCAAACUAGCUCGCUGUGUGGGAUGAGUUUGAGUCUCCAUCGGCGAAGCGCUCCGGAGGGGGCGCGAACAGUGUUGGGAGACUUGACGCGCCUCAAGCGGUGAGCUAACUCGUUGUGUGAGGCGAGUUUGUCUCUCCGUAGGCGAUGCGAUCCGGAGGCGGGGCGCGACAAGUUUUGGGCGACUUGACGCGCCUGGAGCGACGACCUAGCUCGUCGUGUGAGUCGAGUUUGUAUCUCUAUAGGCGAUGCGGUCCAAAGGGGGUUGCGGUCGGUGUUGGGUGACUUGACGCCCCUCUAGCGGCGACCUAGCUCGCCGUGUGAGGCGGGUUUGUGCCUCCGUAGGCGAUGCGGUUCUAAGGGGGGCGGGUGUUGGGCGAUUUGACGUGCCUCGAGCGGCGACCUAUCUUGCCGUAUGAGGCAAGUUAAGUCAUGGCAAAUGUUGCGGGAACACACAUGAGAAGCAUUAGAAAAAAAAGGGGGAGAGAGGUGUGUGGACUGUACCUCAUCAUUGUGUUGAUCUGUGUAGUCCUCCAUGUUAAACCUGCGAGUCCGGGGAUAAUGGAAGAAAAAAUGCGCUACCCCCUUAGUUUUCCA